AAAAAAACUCCAUCAAGAGUCAUCACCCUACCAAUCCUUCAUCAUGAGGCACCGAAAAUUGAGGAGCCGCUGAAAUCUGUGGUCAUUGCAAUCUCAACUUCCGUCUGCAAGUAGUACAUGUCCUGAUCUAAAUCAACCAGCACAGCGUGUGCUAGCUAGCCGCGUAUGUGUGUCAGCUUUCCUAUAUCCAUCAAGUACGUGCAUGCCUGUUAUGCCCAGCGAGAAUCAAGUAGGUGCAUGGCUGUUGUGUCCAGCGAGAAGCUUUCUCAUAUCCACAAGUACGUGCAUGGUUGUUGUGUCCAGCGAGAAGCAUCAGCGACAAGCGGUGGGCUAUUUUGCCAACAACAUGAAUAUUCAGAUCAGUAGAAAAAGGAUGCUCACCGACAUCAUAUUUACACAUUACUCGAUGAAAGCCCAAUUAAUGAAGUGGAUAAUCAAACAGAUAGCCCACGAUGGUGUGGUCAUAUACUCUUGGACAGCUUGGAAUAAUAUGAUUUGUCGCCGGGGCUAAUCUAACGGAGGAUUGCGGAUGUUUUUACGUGCAUAUAUACAAAGACAUCACGCACAUUGUGAUAUUGGUAUGUAUAACUGAUAUAUGUAUUUAUGUUGACCUCAAAUAGAGUAGACCGCCUAUUAAAUCCCGGACUUGCCAAAAAUUAAGCCAUAUGUAAGAAUCAUGCAUGUAUUAAAAGAUCUAAUAUACAUAUGCAUGUGUGUAGCCUUACAAUGUGAUAUUUCAAACAAUCUUCAUCAAUAAUUGUAUAAAUAAAAAUAUAUAGCGAAAGAAAAAUAACCCGUCAUAUGUUCUGAGUUAUCACCAUCAUAUUUUGACUGAUUUGUUAGAAAUCCCCUUAUCAUCCUAAAAACAUAUGCAUGUCUGAUUUGUGGUUGUUAAGAUAAUCAACAAAAGUUAGUCAUAAAAAUCUAGGAAAAUUUAUUACACGUGGAAGAGAGAGGUUAUGCUCAAUAUCUUGUGGUGUUUUCAGACAUGCUUUUGCCAGAAAAAGGAAAAGCAAAUACUAGAAUAGAGCUGAAAGCAAUUAGAUUUCACUAACACAACCACCCGUACGCACAAAAUAUUGAUUCACCCACAUUUAUUUCUUGAAUUUUUAUAACGUCGAGGUUCGGGAGAAAUAAAACAUGCACUCGAUUUCUCUCAUAUACAACCACAUUGCCUAAAUUACAUCCUAAAUAAAGUUUUCUAUUGUUCCUGCAUAUAUUAUGAUUUUAAUUUACAUGACACAAGUAGAAUGUCAUAUGUAUAUAUAGUUAUCCUGAACUGAUCUAGGGGAUACAAUUAUUUUUUGCAAUUUAACUAACCAGGAAAAAUGAUUCCAUGUUAUAGUGAUAGUUUUCUAAUCUUAAGUUAGUUCAUGUACUCUUUAAAUGGUGCGAGGAAUUAUGCGUAUAAUAAAUGGGAAUUGGCCCUUGCCAAAAGAUGUUUUAGUUAGUGGACUACGACUGUUAGAUCGUCAUAUUGUUCGUAAGAUAAUUGCAAUUGUUAGAUGUUCAUAGAGACCUCAAAGAAUCAUACAUAUAUAACUGAUAGGUAGAAUCUUUAUAUUUACUACUCCCUUCGUUCCUAGAUAUAAGUCUUUUUAGACAUUUCAAA
Molecule: long non-coding RNA, 1612 nt
Organism: Triticum aestivum (bread wheat)
Lineage: Eukaryota; Viridiplantae; Streptophyta; Magnoliopsida; Poales; Poaceae
Exons: 3
Source: RefSeq, a predicted model, not a curated record